RNAcentral lists this long non-coding RNA (572 nucleotides) under Homo sapiens (human). RNAcentral's name for it is "non-protein coding NR2F1-AS1:39". Lineage: Eukaryota; Metazoa; Chordata; Mammalia; Primates; Hominidae. The record is from RNAcentral.
UGGAAUUCCAAGAAACAUUCUAUCAUCAGGUAUUAUCUACUGCUGUCUGCAGAAUUCAGACAUGGAGGGCUCAAUGGUGUCCCCUGGUCUUUGGAACAUUCUGUAUUUUAAUGAUCAUGAUACACUGCCUCUAGGACUGGGACAGAUAGCCACUGAGUACCUGCUUCAAAUCACCCUGCACGUUUUCUCUUUGGAAAGAUAAGCACUGGAGAACCAUCUCGUUACCUUCAGCAGAAAUGGAAACAAAUCAAGACAUUAAGAAUGCCGCAGUGGACAGCAGUUAUGCAAGGUUCAGCAGAGGAAGUUUUCAAGAUGGUGUGCCUCACUAGCCAGAAAUCAGAAAAGAUCGAAGCUAGCCUUUUCAUCUCAGCUGCUCCUUAAAUCAGUGCAACCCCUCCAAAUUAAUGUGAAUUGAAACUUGCAUUGCUUUUCAACUUAAUUGAAUACUUACUAUAUGUGAACCACUGCACAAAAUAGGGGAAGAAGAUGUGGGAGACAAAGAUGUGGAGCCUGUCUUCAAUAAAUUUACAGUUAGUUUCAGGGUACAUUGUUUUUCUUCUGCUGUUAAUUAG